This 253-nucleotide ribosomal RNA is filed under the name uncultured bacterium. RNAcentral's name for it is "partial 16S ribosomal RNA". It matches the Rfam family "Bacterial small subunit ribosomal RNA", at positions 524 to 776 of the family's 1533-position model. The record is from RNAcentral.
UACGUAGGGGGCUAGCGUUGUCCGGAAUCAUUGGGCGUAAAGAGCUCGUAGGCGGUUUGUCGCGUCUGCCGUGAAAGUCCGGGGCUCAACUCCGGAUCUGCGGUGGGUACGGGCAGACUAGAGGUAUGCAGGGGAGAACGGAAUUCCUGGUGUAGCGGUGAAAUGCGCAGAUAUCAGGAGGAACACCGGUGGCGAAGGCGGUUCUCUGGGCAUGAUCUGACGCUGAGGAGCGAAAGUGUGGGGAGCGAACAGG